Molecule: ribosomal RNA, 211 nt
Filed under: uncultured bacterium
Lineage: Bacteria
Description: partial 16S ribosomal RNA
Rfam family: Bacterial small subunit ribosomal RNA
Source: RNAcentral
AGUUCGGAUUGCAGGCUGCAACUCGCCUGUAUGAAGUCGGAAUUGCUAGUAAUCGCGGAUCAGCAUGCCGCGGUGAAUACGUUCCCGGGCCUUGUACACACCGCCCGUCACACCAUGAGAGCCGGGAACACCCGAAGUCCGUAGUCUAACCGCAAGGAGGACGCGGCCGAAGGUGGGUUUGGUAAUUGGGGUGAAGUCGUAACAAGGUACC